GAUGAACGCUGGCGGCGUGCCUAAUACAUGCAAGUCGAGCGAACGGACGAGAAGCUUGCUUCUCUGAUGUUAGCGGCGGACGGGUGGGUAACACGUGGAUAACCUACCCAUAAGACUGGGAUAACUUCGGGAAACCGGAGCUAAUACCGGAUGAUAUUUUGAACCGCAUGGUUCAAAAGUGAAAGACGGUCUUGCUGUCACUUAUAGAUGGAUCCGCGCUGCAUUAGCUAGUUGGUAAGGUAACGGCUUACCAAGGCAACGAUGCAUAGCCGACCUGAGAGGGUGAUCGGCCACACUGGAACUGAGACACGGUCCAGACUCCUACGGGAGGCAGCAGUAGGGAAUCUUCCGCAAUGGGCGAAAGCCUGACGGAGCAACGCCGCGUGAGUGAUGAAGGUCUUCGGAUCGUAAAACUCUGUUAUUAGGGAAGAACAUAUGUGUAAGUAACUGUGCACAUCUUGACGGUACCUAAUCAGAAAGCCACGGCUAACUACGUG
This 497-nucleotide ribosomal RNA is filed under the name uncultured bacterium. RNAcentral's name for it is "partial 16S ribosomal RNA". It matches the Rfam family "Bacterial small subunit ribosomal RNA", at positions 28 to 507 of the family's 1533-position model. The record is from RNAcentral.